AGAUGCUGUCUGUGACACCUGUUUUGUCUUGAUCCUUAGGAAAUACAGACAAAACUAAAAGUCUCUAGGUCAGUGAGUAAAUCCAUCUGGUUUUGUGCCCUGCUGGCAAUGUUUUUUGAAUCACUGAAGGAAGAUGAUGUGCUCCUUCCUUGGCCUGAGUGAAACAGAUCUCUUACCUACUUUGCUUUCAACCUGACUGUUAAAUCCCAGUGGGAGGAGGGAAGAAAAGGAAAAUGAAUGCUGUCAGCCUUCAGCUUCUGCAAUGGAUGAAGAAGCCCAGUUUUUUCACUGUGUCUUCAUAGGAGAGGUACUUCAGUCUUUGGAUCAUUUCUGUGGCCCUCCUCUGUACGCUCUCCAAAAACUCCACAUCUUUUCUGUGGUGAUAUGGGAUGUCUACCAUUAGUGCUGAAACACUGCAAAGGAGAAUCACAACUAACUGGCUGAAGUAUGAAAAUUGCUGAAGGGCAUUUUCUAUCACACUUUGGGCAGCUGCACAUGAAAUUGAUGGAAAAUUACCUUUCCAAGGAGGAGCUGUUGACUCCCGUGAGGGUGGAGAAGCCUUGCAGUGAGAUCUUGAGAAAUUAAAGGACUGAGCAAUCACCAACUGCAUGAAGUUCAGCAAGAGCAAGUGCCAGAUUCUGCAUCUGGAAUGGGACAGUUCUGGCUAUAUGUGCAGACUGGGGGACAAGAGGCUGGAGAGCAACCACGCAGAAAGCGACCUGUGGUUUUGGCAGAUGGCAGAGUUGAAUGUGAGUCAGCAGUGUGUCCUGUCAUCCCAAAGAGCCAACCGUACUCUGGAAAGAGUCAGGGUAGUGAUCAAGUUGUCAGAAGCAUGCUUUCUCCCUUACAAGAAUUAAUGUCCCUCUGUAUCAGAUAGAUAUCAGUGAUGCAAACAGGGAAAAACCUGUCUUAACCAGAUACCCCUGAUAUCUCUGUCUCCAUACCCGAAGUUCAGAGGGACUGAAGUUAUCAGAUAUCCAAGUAACUCUUAACAUUGGGAAGCAGAACGUACCAAACACUCUAGCCAAGACCACAAGCCAAACUAAUUUAUGUCUCUCUUGAAGAUACAGAGAUCAUGUGGACAAGUAUGUACCAUCUCUUCACUCGUUUGGCCUGAUCAAAGUUGAGAUAAAGUCCAAAUAACUUUGUCCUCUUUCAAUUAAUUAAAAACUUCCAAUCUGAAGUUUUCUCUUCGAAAACAGGAUAACCUAGGGAGCUCUGUUUUGAUUACCCAGGUUUCCAAAUUAACAGAAAAUAGACUUUUGGCAACAUGAAUAAUGUGUUUUUGUCCCAGAAGACAUUGCUCUGGCAUUCUGUUGACAAAAACUUCCCUAUGUAGUUUUGAGACUGCUAGCAAUUGCACUGCAGUACCAGGAUAAGAGUUGUCUUUCAGUCAGUCAUUUUUCUGCUAACCUAGUGCCUCUGUGAGAGCACAGGUUUUUUUCUCUUCUAUUGCAAAUUGUUGAACCUUAAAAAAUUAAUUGCGUAUACACUAGUGAUCACUUCCAUAGAUAGAGCCUGAGGCAAAAUACACAGAUGAGAAAAUAUGGAAUUUCCUCUGACAUUUUCUGGCUAAUGCUAUCCAUGAAAUUACAAAUAAAAUCACCAGGGCCAGCUGCUCAUUUUAUAUGUGCUCUUCCAAUCAAAUCAGAUAUUAAAGUGUCCUUUCACCAAAGUUUUCUCAGUUCAGACAAAAUUUCUGCAGAGCAGAGUUAUUCAGAUAAUACUAAUAUUUUAGUUCACAUUUGUUUUUAACAAUCUACAUACAGGUAAUUUCUGUAUUUAUUUAUUUUUUGCUACUGAACCAACUCUACAUUUUGUUCACCAGCCUUUGUUUGCUAUAUAUUCAUCCUUAGAAGGUGGUGUAGAGACUUCUGCAAAUGUGGUAGUACAGGCUCAAGCAUUGUAUGCUACAGGAAUCCCCUAAGGUGUAGAAUUGGUGCAGGAAGCUCUGACACAUGGAAAC
This is a long non-coding RNA of Tympanuchus pallidicinctus (lesser prairie-chicken), 1966 nucleotides long. RefSeq lists it as uncharacterized. Lineage: Eukaryota; Metazoa; Chordata; Aves; Galliformes; Phasianidae. The transcript is spliced from 6 exons. The record is from RefSeq and is a predicted model, not a curated record.